This 207-nucleotide ribosomal RNA is filed under the name uncultured bacterium. RNAcentral describes it as "partial 16S ribosomal RNA". It matches the Rfam family "Bacterial small subunit ribosomal RNA", at positions 568 to 774 of the family's 1533-position model. The record is from RNAcentral.
CUCGUAGGCGGUUUGUCGCGUCUGGUGUGAAAGUCCAUCGCUUAACGGUGGAUCUGCGCCGGGUACGGGCAGGCUGGAGUGCAGUAGGGGAGACUGGAAUUCCCGGUGUAACGGUGGAAUGUGUAGAUAUCGGGAAGAACACCAAUGGCGAAGGCAGGUCUCUGGGCUGUUACUGACGCUGAGGAGCGAAAGCGUGGGGAGCGAACA